GGGACACGUGGUAUCCUGUCUGAAUAUGGGGGGACCAUCCUCCAAGGCUAAAUACUCCUGACUGACCGAUAGUGAACCAGUACCGUGAGGGAAAGGCGAAAAGAACCCCGGCGAGGGGAGUGAAAAAGAACCUGAAACCGUGUACGUACAAGCAGUGGGAGCACGCUUAGGCGUGUGACUGCGUACCUUUUGUAUAAUGGGUCAGCGACUUAUAUUCUGUAGCAAGGUUAACCGAAUAGGGGAGCCGAAGGGAAACCGAGUCUUAACUGGGCGUUAAGUUGCAGGGUAUAGACCCGAAACCCGGUGAUCUAGCCAUGGGCAGGUUGAAGGUUGGGUAACACUAACUGGAGGACCGAACCGACUAAUGUUGAAAAAUUAGCGGAUGACUUGUGGCUGGGGGUGAAAGGCCAAUCAAACCGGGAGAUAGCUGGUUCUCCCCGAAAGCUAUUUAGGUAGCGCCUCGUGAAUUCAUCUCCGGGGGUAGAGCACUGUUUCGGCAAGGGGGUCAUCCCGACUUACCAACCCGAUGCAAACUGCGAAUACCGGAGAAUGUUAUCACGGGAGACACACGGCGGGUGCUAACGUCCGUCGUGAAGAGGGAAACAACCCAGACCGCCAGCUAAGGUCCCAAAGUCAUGGUUAAGUGGGAAACGAUGUGGGAAGGCCCAGACAGCCAGGAUGUUGGCUUAGAAGCAGCCAUCAUUUAAAGAAAGCGUAAUAGCUCACUGGUCGAGUCGGCCUGCGCGGAAGAUGUAACGGGGCUAAACCAUGCACCGAAGCUGCGGCAGCGACGCUGAUGCGUUGUUGGGUAGGGGAGCGUUCUGUAAGCCUGUGAAGGUGUGCUGUGAGGCAUGCUGGAGGUAUCAGAAGUGCGAAUGCUGACAUAAGUAACGAUAAAGCGGGUGAAAAGCCCGCUCGCCGGAAGACCAAGGGUUCCUGUCCAACGUUAAUCGGGGCAGGGUGAGUCGACCCCUAAGGCGAGGCCGAAAGGCGUAGUCGAUGGGAAACAGGUUAAUAUUCCUGUACUUGGUGUUACUGCGAAGGGGGGACGGAGAAGGCUAUGUUGGCCGGGCGACGGUUGUCCCGGUUUAAGCGUGUAGGCUGGUUUUCCAGGCAAAUCCGGAAAAUCAAGGCUGAGGCGUGAUGACGAGGCACUACGGUGCUGAAGCAACAAAUGCCCUGCUUCCAGGAAAAGCCUCUAAGCAUCAGGUAACAUCAAAUCGUACCCCAAACCGACACAGGUGGUCAGGUAGAGAAUACCAAGGCGCUUGAGAGAACUCGGGUGAAGGAACUAGGCAAAAUGGUGCCGUAACUUCGGGAGAAGGCACGCUGAUAUGUAGGUGAAGUCCCUCGCGGAUGGAGCUGAAAUCAGUCGAAGAUACCAGCUGGCUGCAACUGUUUAUUAAAAACACAGCACUGUGCAAACACGAAAGUGGACGUAUACGGUGUGACGCCUGCCCGGUGCCGGAAGGUUAAUUGAUGGGGUCAGCGCAAGCGAAGCUCUUGAUCGAAGCCCCGGUAAACGGCGGCCGUAACUAUAACGGUCCUAAGGUAGCGAAAUUCCUUGUCGGGUAAGUUCCGACCUGCACGAAUGGCGUAAUGAUGGCCAGGCUGUCUCCACCCGAGACUCAGUGAAAUUGAACUCGCUGUGAAGAUGCAGUGUACCCGCGGCAAGACGGAAAGACCCCGUGAACCUUUACUAUAGCUUGACACUGAACAUUGAGCCUUGAUGUGUAGGAUAGGUGGGAGGCUUGGAAGUGUGGACGCCAGUCUGCAUGGAGCCGACCUUGAAAUACCACCCUUUAAUGUUUGAUGUUCUAACGUGGACCCGUGAUCCGGGUUGCGGACAGUGUCUGGUGGGUAGUUUGACUGGGGCGGUCUCCUCCUAAAGAGUAACGGAGGAGCACGAAGGUUGGCUAAUCCUGGUCGGACAUCAGGAGGUUAGUGCAAUGGCAUAAGCCAGCUUGACUGCGAGCGUGACGGCGCGAGCAGGUGCGAAAGCAGGUCAUAGUGAUCCGGUGGUUCUGAAUGGAAGGGCCAUCGCUCAACGGAUAAAAGGUACUCCGGGGAUAACAGGCUGAUACCGCCCAAGAGUUCAUAUCGACGGCGGUGUUUGGCACCUCGAUGUCGGCUCAUCACAUCCUGGGGCUGAAGUAGGUCCCAAGGGUAUGGCUGUUCGCCAUUUAAAGUGGUACGCGAGCUGGGUUUAGAACGUCGUGAGACAGUUCGGUCCCUAUCUGCCGUGGGCGCUGGAGAACUGAGGGGGGCUGCUCCUAGUACGAGAGGACCGGAGUGGACGCAUCACUGGUGUUCGGGUUGUCAUGCCAAUGGCACUGCCCGGUAGCUAAAUGCGGAAGAGAUAAGUGCUGAAAGCAUCUAAGCACGAAACUUGCCCCGAGAUGAGUUCUCCCUGACUCCUUGAGAGUCCUGAAGGAACGUUGAAGACGACGACGUUGAUAGGCCGGGUGUGUAAGCGCAGCGAUGCGUUGAGCUAACCGGUACUAAUGAACCGUGAGG
RNAcentral lists this ribosomal RNA (2517 nucleotides) under Escherichia coli. Its description in RNAcentral is "partial 23S ribosomal RNA". It matches the Rfam family "Bacterial large subunit ribosomal RNA", at positions 419 to 2915 of the family's 2925-position model. The record is from RNAcentral. Lineage: Bacteria; Pseudomonadati; Pseudomonadota; Gammaproteobacteria; Enterobacterales; Enterobacteriaceae.